AAAGGGUGCGUAGGCGGCCUGUUAAGUCAGGGGUGAAAGACGGUAGCUCAACUAUCGCAGUGCCCUUGAUACUGAUGGGCUUGAAUUGACUAGAGGUAGGCGGAAUGUGACAAGUAGCGGUGAAAUGCAUAGAUAUGUCACAGAACACCGAUUGCGAAGGCAGCUUACUAUGGUCUUAUUGACGCUGAGGCACGAAAGCGUGGGGAGCAAACAGGAUUAGAUACCCGUGU
This 230-nucleotide ribosomal RNA is filed under the name uncultured bacterium. Its description in RNAcentral is "partial 16S ribosomal RNA". It matches the Rfam family "Bacterial small subunit ribosomal RNA", at positions 562 to 791 of the family's 1533-position model. The record is from RNAcentral.